UUUAUAUAUUAUAUGUUGUGUUUGUGAAUGAAGGAGAUUUAUUGGAUGGGGCACGCGCGAGACAAAUUCGAAAUUUUAAAUGAGCAAGUCUAACGGACUUUCGGAGAAUCUUGAGUACUGCGCAUGCGCAUCAUUUUGUUCUGUAACGGUCGACUUCCAGCAGACGGACACGGAGUAAAAGCAGCUGGAGGAGAGACAGCCUGUGCAGCAACAACAAGACAACAAUGAUUAUAAGCAGGGAUAAUCUCCAGGUGGACUGCACGGGUCCAGGAUCAAGAGAUCAUUCAUCAUGCAGACCAUGUUCCAGGAGAAGCAGCGUAUACUGGGUCUGCUUGAUCAUUUUGUUGUCCUGGAUGUGAGAACAUGGUCAAAAGAAAGAUGUAUUUUUGAGGAGGCUGCAACAAUGACUAAAGGCAGGGACACACUUAACGACUGUAAGGCCGAUUAUAAAUAAACUAAUAAACUGAUCUUGCCCAAACACGUCGAGUCAGAGCCAGUUGCGUUCAGUCUGUUUAUAAUCUGUAAGUAUUUAAAUCCACUUCAGUCGAAGGAAACAGUUUUUAAGUGUGUGGAUUUCAGUCUUAGAAUGUUUCUUCUAGUCGUUCAGUGUGUCCCCAGCUUGAAGUAAUCAUUAAAAUGUAAGUUCUUUGAGAAUUUGUGCACUGUUUAUUAUCUAAAUGUAAUAAUGUACACUGCCAAUCAAAGAUAUUGAGAUUUGGAAGAUGUUGCAAAAUUUAAUUUACUUCCUUUGAUGGAAAAUUUUCGGCAUCAUUUUUGUAGUCUUCAGUGCCACUUGAUCUUUGAUUAUUCUAAUAUGCUGAAUUGAUGCUCGGACAUUUCUUUUGAAAUGUGCUGCUUCAUAUUUUUGUGUUCUUGAGCAUCAAAUCAUCAUAUUAGAAUGAUUUCUGAAGGAUCAUGUGACACUG
Molecule: long non-coding RNA, 926 nt
Organism: Megalobrama amblycephala (Wuchang bream)
Lineage: Eukaryota; Metazoa; Chordata; Actinopteri; Cypriniformes; Xenocyprididae
Exons: 5
Source: RefSeq, a predicted model, not a curated record